UACGUAGGGGGCAAGCGUUGUCCGGAUUUAUUGGGCGUAAAGCGCUCGCAGGUGGUUCAUUGCGUCGUGCGUGAAAGACCCCGGCUCAACUGGGGAGGGUCGUGCGAAACGGGUGAACUAGAGGCCAGUAGGGGGACACGGAAUUCCGGGUGUAGCUGGUGGAAUGCGUAGAGAUCCGGAAGAACACCGGAGGCGAAGGCGGCUUGCUGGGCGUAGUCUGACGCUGAGGCGCGAAAGCGUGGGGAGCGAACAGG
RNAcentral lists this ribosomal RNA (254 nucleotides) under uncultured bacterium. Its description in RNAcentral is "partial 16S ribosomal RNA". It matches the Rfam family "Bacterial small subunit ribosomal RNA", at positions 524 to 776 of the family's 1533-position model. The record is from RNAcentral.